CCUACGGGUGGCAGCAGUGAGGAAUAUUGGUCAAUGGGCGAAAGCCUGAUCCAGCCAAGUCGCGUGAAGGAAGAAGGAUCUAUGGUUUGUAAACUUCUUUUAUAGGGGAAUAAAGUGAGGCACGUGUUGAUUUUUGCAUGUCCCCUAUGAAUAAGCAUCGGCUAACUCCGUGCCAGCAGCCGCGGUAAUACGGAGGAUGCGAGCGUUAUCCGGAUUUAUUGGGUUUAAAGGGUGCGUAGGUGGUUGUUUAAGUCAGCGGUGAAAGUUUGUGGCUCAACCAUAAAAUUGCCGUUGAAACUGGUAGACUUGAGUGUAUUUGAGGUAGGCGGAAUGCGUGGUGUAGCGGUGAAAUGCAUAGAUAUCACGCAGAACUCCGAUUGCGAAGGCAGCUUACUAAGCUAUAACUGACACUGAAGCACGAAAGCGUGGGGAUCAAACAGGAUUAGAUACCCGAGUAGUC
Molecule: ribosomal RNA, 460 nt
Filed under: uncultured bacterium
Lineage: Bacteria
Description: partial 16S ribosomal RNA
Rfam family: Bacterial small subunit ribosomal RNA
Source: RNAcentral